UGGCGUGUAGUUUAAUAGGGGAAACUAUGGGCUUAUUGACAAGCACGUAUUAGUGGUUCAAGUCCACUCACGCCAU
This 76-nucleotide transfer RNA is filed under the name Bacteroidota bacterium. Its description in RNAcentral is "tRNA-OTHER". It matches the Rfam family "tRNA". Rfam says of the family: Transfer RNA (tRNA) molecules are approximately 80 nucleotides in length. Their secondary structure includes four short double-helical elements and three loops (D, anti-codon, and T loops). Lineage: Bacteria; Pseudomonadati; Bacteroidota. The record is from RNAcentral.